ACUGACGCUGAGGAGCGAAAGCAUGGGGAGCGAACAGGAUUAGAUACCCUGGUAGUCCAUGCCGUAAACGUUGGGCACUAGGUGUGGGGGACAUUCCACGUUUUCCGCGCCGUAGCUAACGCAUUAAGUGCCCCGCCUGGGGAGUACGGCCGCAAGGCUAAAACUCAAAGGAAUUGACGGGGGCCCGCACAAGCGGCGGAGCAUGCGGAUUAAUUCGAUGCAACGCGAAAAACCUUACCAAGGCUUGACAUGAACCGGAAUGAUGCAAAGAUGUGUCAGCCACUUGUGGCCGGUUUACAGGUGGUGCAUGGUUGUCGUCAGCUCGUGUCGUGAGAUGUUGGGUUAAGUCCCGCAACGAGCGCAACCCUCGUUCCAUGUUGCCAGCGGGUUAUGCCGGGGACUCAUGGGAGACUGCCGGGGUCAACUCGGAGGAAGGUGGGGACGACGUCAAAUCAUCAUGCCCCUUAUGUCUUGGGCUUCACGCAUGCUACAAUGGCCGGUACAAAGGGUUGCGAUACUGUGAGGUGGAGCUAAUCCCAAAAAGCCGGUCUCAGUUCGGAUUGAGGUCUGCAACUCGACCUCAUGAAGUUGGAGUCGCUAGUAAUCGCAGAUCAGCAACGCUGCGGUGAAUACGUUCCCGGGCCUUGUAC
Molecule: ribosomal RNA, 650 nt
Filed under: Arthrobacter agilis
Lineage: Bacteria; Bacillati; Actinomycetota; Actinomycetes; Micrococcales; Micrococcaceae
Description: bacterial SSU rRNA
Rfam family: Bacterial small subunit ribosomal RNA
Source: RNAcentral